RNAcentral lists this ribosomal RNA (225 nucleotides) under uncultured bacterium. Its description in RNAcentral is "partial 16S ribosomal RNA". It matches the Rfam family "Bacterial small subunit ribosomal RNA", at positions 109 to 334 of the family's 1533-position model. The record is from RNAcentral.
AGUAACGCGUGGGUAACCUGCCUCAUACAGGGGGAUAACAGUUGGAAACGACUGCUAAUACCGCAUAAGCGCACAGGAUUGCAUGAUCCAGUGUGAAAAACUCCGGUGGUAUGAGAUGGACCCGCGUCUGAUUAGCCAGUUGGCGGGGUAACGGCCCACCAAAGCGACGAUCAGUAGCCGACCUGAGAGGGUGACCGGCCACAUUGGGACUGAGACACGGCCCAA